Ribosomal RNA from Candidatus Methanomassiliicoccus intestinalis Issoire-Mx1, 121 nucleotides. NCBI's taxonomy places the organism in Archaea, Methanobacteriati, Thermoplasmatota, Thermoplasmata, Methanomassiliicoccales, Methanomassiliicoccaceae. The record is from Rfam.
UAUGACGGCCAGAGCGGCGGGGAUACACCCGGUCCCAUCUGAACCCGGAAGUUAAGUCCGCCUGCGUUUCAUGUUGUACUGCGGUGCGCGAGCCCGCGGGAACCAUGAGACGCUGUCAGCC